RNAcentral lists this ribosomal RNA (292 nucleotides) under uncultured eukaryote. RNAcentral's name for it is "partial 18S ribosomal RNA". It matches the Rfam family "Eukaryotic small subunit ribosomal RNA", at positions 6 to 301 of the family's 1831-position model. The record is from RNAcentral.
GGUUGAUCCUGCCAGUUGUCAUAUGCUUGUCUCAAAGAUUAAGCCAUGCAUGUCUAAGUAUGAAUUGUAUUCAAACAAAGGUGAAACUGCGAAAGGCUCAAUAAAUCAGCAAUCGUUUAUUUGAUUGUGCGCUUUGAAUGCCACUCGGAUAACCGUGGUAAUUCCAGAGCUAAUACGUGCCAGAAAAACAAUAUAGUUUUGCAACGACUGGAAAGAAAAGAAAGAGUAAAAUCUUUUUUGAAUUUUGGAAGUUGAGCAUUUAUUAGAUUCAAAAACCCACACACCUAAUUAA